Haliotis rubra (blacklip abalone) is the source of this 111-nucleotide long non-coding RNA. RefSeq lists it as uncharacterized. The record is from RefSeq and is a predicted model, not a curated record. The transcript is spliced from 3 exons. NCBI's taxonomy places the organism in Eukaryota, Metazoa, Mollusca, Gastropoda, Lepetellida, Haliotidae.
AGAUUAUAUCUUUACAUAUUUUGUGUGUCACUUUAUUAAGCAUUAAGAGCAACAGCUUAUCCAAGGUUUUAAACGAUUCAAUUGAUGAAUCACUUUUUGUGGAUGAUUUUA